RNAcentral lists this ribosomal RNA (450 nucleotides) under uncultured bacterium. RNAcentral's name for it is "bacterial SSU rRNA". It matches the Rfam family "Bacterial small subunit ribosomal RNA", at positions 355 to 796 of the family's 1533-position model. The record is from RNAcentral.
UAGGGAAUAUUGCGCAAUGGACGCAAGUCUGACGCAGCGACGCCGCGUGGGUGACGAAGGCCUUCGGGUCGUAAAGCCCUGUCGGAAGGGAAGAAAAACGAUGUGGCUAACAUCCAUAUCGCUUGACGGUACCUUUAAAGGAAGCACCGGCUAACUACGUGCCAGCAGCCGCGGUAAUACGUAGGGUGCAAGCGUUGUUCGGAAUCAUUGGGCGUAAAGCGCGUGUAGGUUGUUGGAUAAGUCGAGUGUGAAAUCCCUGGGCUCAACCGAGGAAGUGCAUUCGAAACUAUCCAGCUCGAAGAUGGCAGAGGAAGGUGGAAUUCCUAGUGUAGAGGUGAAAUUCGUAGAUAUUAGGAGGAAUACCGGUGGCGAAGGCGGCCUUCUGGACCAUUCUUGACACUGAGACGCGAAAGCGUGGGGAGCAAACAGGAUUAGAUACCCCUGUAGUCC